GUCACGGUCUACCCCGAUGGGGGGGUUUCUGUAGCCCUACAUCGUUGGAAAUGCCUUGCAGAUUAAACAUGUUGCUUCCCUUAUUCACAGAACCGUGCGUUAGAUCUGUGAGGAGGAACUACACACCUAAC
Molecule: small nucleolar RNA, 131 nt
Organism: Artibeus jamaicensis (Jamaican fruit-eating bat)
Lineage: Eukaryota; Metazoa; Chordata; Mammalia; Chiroptera; Phyllostomidae
Source: RefSeq, a predicted model, not a curated record